RNAcentral lists this ribosomal RNA (159 nucleotides) under Senna tora. RNAcentral describes it as "5.8S ribosomal RNA". It matches the Rfam family "5.8S ribosomal RNA". Rfam says of the family: 5.8S ribosomal RNA (5.8S rRNA) is a component of the large subunit of the eukaryotic ribosome. It is transcribed by RNA polymerase I as part of the 45S precursor that also contains 18S and 28S rRNA. Functionally, it is thought that 5.8S rRNA may be involved in ribosome translocation. Lineage: Eukaryota; Viridiplantae; Streptophyta; Magnoliopsida; Fabales; Fabaceae. The record is from RNAcentral.
AUGACUCUCGGCAACGGAUAUCUCGGCUCUCGCAUCGAUGAAGAACGUAGCGAAAUGCGAUACUUGGUGUGAAUUGGAGAAUCCCGUGAACCAUCGAGUCUUUGAACGCAAGUUGCGCCCGAAGCCACUAGGCCGAGGGCACGUCUGCCUGGGUGUCAC